GAUGAACGCUGGCGGCGUGCUUAACACAUGCAAGUCGAACGAUGAAGCCCAGCUUGCUGGGUGGAUUAGUGGCGAACGGGUGAGUAACACGUGAGUAACCUGCCCUUAACUCUGGGAUAAGCCUGGGAAACAGGGUCUAAUACCGGAUAGGAGCGUCCACCGCAUGGUGGGUGUUGGAAAGAUUUAUCGGUUUUGGAUGGACUCGCGGCCUAUCAGCUUGUUGGUGAGGUAAUGGCUCACCAAGGCGACGACGGGUAGCCGGCCUGAGAGGGUGACCGGCCACACUGGGACUGAGACACGGCCCAGACUCCUACGGGAGGCAGCAGUGGGGAAUAUUGCACAAUGGGCGCAAGCCUGAUGCAGCGACGCCGCGUGAGGGAUAACGGCCUUCGGGUUGUAAACCUCUUUCAGUAGGGAAGAAGCGAAAGUGACGGUACCUGCAGAAGAAGCACCGGCUAACUACGUG
This 466-nucleotide ribosomal RNA is filed under the name uncultured bacterium. Its description in RNAcentral is "partial 16S ribosomal RNA". It matches the Rfam family "Bacterial small subunit ribosomal RNA", at positions 28 to 507 of the family's 1533-position model. The record is from RNAcentral.